GUCCACGCAGCCCCUGAACCAAAAGAUGACAAAGUUUUCAACGUUACGAUGACAAUGGUGAAAGUCGGGGUAAUAAACAUGGAUGUAAACGCAGUUUGCAGAGCUGCUGGAUAUGUGACUCCGGGAGAACUUGCGGCGUACACCACCACUACCGAAAAAAGCGUGACGAAGAAAACCAAAAGCGAUUCGGGAAAGGGAAGCGAACCCACAACAACGACCGAACAUUAUACAACA
Cydia amplana is the source of this 234-nucleotide long non-coding RNA. RefSeq lists it as uncharacterized. The transcript has 3 exons. The record is from RefSeq and is a predicted model, not a curated record. NCBI's taxonomy places the organism in Eukaryota, Metazoa, Arthropoda, Insecta, Lepidoptera, Tortricidae.